Molecule: ribosomal RNA, 497 nt
Filed under: uncultured bacterium
Lineage: Bacteria
Description: partial 16S ribosomal RNA
Rfam family: Bacterial small subunit ribosomal RNA
Source: RNAcentral
GAUGAACGCUGGCGGCGUGCCUAAUACAUGCAAGUCGAGCGAACGGACGAGAAGCUUGCUUCUCUGAUGUUAGCGGCGGACGGGUGAGUAACACGUGGAUAACCUACCUAUAAGGCUGGGAUAACUUCGGGAAACCGGAGCUAAUACCGGAUAAUAUUUUGAACCGCAUGGUUCAAAAGUGAAAGACGGUCUUGCUGUCACUUAUAGAUGGAUCCGCGCUGCAUUAGCUAGUUGGUAAGGUAACGGCUUACCAAGGCAACGAUGCAUAGCCGACCUGAGAGGGUGAUCGGCCACACUGGAACUAAGACACGGUCCAGACUCCUACGGGAGGCAGCAGUAGGGAAUCUUCCGCAAUGGGCGAAAGCCUGACGGAGCAACGCCGCGUGAGUGAUGAAGGUCUUCGGAUCGUAAAACUCUGUUAUUAGGGAAGAACAUAUGUGUAAGUAACUGUGCACAUCUUGACGGUACCUAAUCAGAAAGCCACGGCUAACUACGUG